UAUUCGACAUUUGAAAAGUUACUGUCAUAUUUCUUUGAAACAACGACUUAAAGUCAAUAAAUAAGUAAAAAUGGCAAAUAAAAGUAAUUAUAGAAGAGUUAUUGCUUCGAUUCGAGAAUUUUUCCAACAUGUAGGCCGUCAAUUAACAUGGCGAGACAUUGUCGUUUGUAUGGCUGCAUUUGCUAUGGGAUUUCUUGGAGCAUGGAUUGAUAACUAUUUCGAGAGAAUUAAUCCUGAGGAAGGAAACCACUGAUUACAGAAGACCCAGCUGAACUAAAUAUUUAAAAACAUAAAGGACACAUCUUUCAAAAUUAAUAUAAAUACAAAAUUGUUGCAAAUAUCAAUGUCUUAUCUUCAAAAAAUACUAUUUUUCUUUUGCUUUCAUUAGUUGCUCAUGUAUGAAUCUACAAUAUCUUUAACAGCUGUGGAAAAAUAAAAAACAACUCUCAAAUUUA
Long non-coding RNA from Argiope bruennichi, 455 nucleotides. RefSeq lists it as uncharacterized. Lineage: Eukaryota; Metazoa; Arthropoda; Arachnida; Araneae; Araneidae. The record is from RefSeq and is a predicted model, not a curated record. The transcript has 2 exons.